RNAcentral lists this long non-coding RNA (2952 nucleotides) under Cicer arietinum (chickpea). Its description in RNAcentral is "long non-coding RNA (CARI_LNC002651)". Lineage: Eukaryota; Viridiplantae; Streptophyta; Magnoliopsida; Fabales; Fabaceae. The record is from RNAcentral.
UUUAAAACAAUUAUUGACAAAUAUGAAAGUUUAUCGGUAAUUUAGCUAAUGGUUGUUUAUUGCGAUUACUUAAAUCUAAAAGGAGGGAGAGAUUGAAGGUUUAAAAAGAGAGACAUGAGAUGGAUAUAUAAAGAUGAGAGAGAGAUGUGUGUGUAGAAAGAGCUAAUAGGCAUCAAUAUCAAAUAGAGGAAAAGAUACAUGAGAGAGAUAUAUGAGGGAGAGAGGCACAUGACUGCAAAAAGAGAUAACAUGAAGAGAUAAGAGAGAGAGAGAGUGAGAGAGAGAGAGAGAGAUGAAAUAAUAAAAAGAAAGUUGUUAUACAACAGAAAGAAGGAGAGAGUGAGUGAGUGAGAAAAGAGUGACAAAGUGAUAGAGGAGAGAGACAUGAGAUAUGAGAAAAUGGUAAUAAUAUUUUACUUGUAAACUUAAAAAGAUAUUUUGGUAUUCUUGAUUCCUUAUAUCUUGGAUAAAAAAUUGUACCGUCGUUUUAUGAGAGGACAUAAUUUAUGCUUUUGGUAUUCUUGAUUUCAGUCUCAUGACCAAUUUCUAAAGAAAAUAGGGUACAACAAAAAUUUGGUGUCUAGUUCUAUUGUGUUUUUAGCAAAUCAAAUGCACCAUAUGCAAUUACAUCAAUGAAAAAAAUGUUUGAUUGGUUGUGAAUUUCUUAAACGUUUCAAAGAGUCUUAAUUUUGACAAUUUAUGUAGAUAACUAUUUAAGAAUAUUUAAAAUAAUGUAAGUAAAUUUGAAAAGCAGAUAAACUACAAGUAAAAUAUAUUUAUUUAAAUUAAUGUAAGUUUAUUAUGAUUUAUACAAUUGGUAUUUAUAGAGUAUAAAUAAGACUUUAAAGUGUAGUUCCUUCAGUCCAUUACUUUGAUAGAUUAUAAUUAAAUUCUCAUUUCAAAUUAAUCGACUAAUUCAAGUACGUUUUCUUCAAACUUGUGACGAUCUAUGAAUAUGCCUUUCCAUUAUUUGCAUUCCCUUAUUUUUAUAUUGAUGCAAUUUGUUUUCUUUUUCUCACUAAUGUUGGGCUCAAUGAAAAUUGGCCCCAUGCACGAAGGUUGUAGUUCAAAUUAACUUGGUCAAUUUAAAUAUAAUAUCUAACGGCCCUAUAAAGUUUAUUCAUUUGCAAUAAAAUGGAUAAGUGUCCUCAAUAGCGGUCGAAAAAGAUUUUAUUAUAUCCAAUUCAAAUAAUCUAUAUUAGAAUCAAUUUUAACUCGGUUGUGGAUCGUCUUUUGCUUAAAGGACAUUUAAUAAAAAAUUUAAUAUAUAAAUGUUUUUUUAGUUGAAUAUAUAUUCUAAUAGCUAUUUAAUUGAAGCAUAAUGUUGGUUUUGAACCUCAUUCUAAUAUGAAAGAAUAGAUAAGAAAUAAAAAAUUAAAGAUAUACUCUAAAGUCAAGUAAUCAAUUACAUGAGCUAAAGUGACAAAUAUGAUCCUUCGUUGUACUAAAAACUAUUCAACUGAAAUAAGCAUAGCAUGAGGUUUUUCACAAUAUAAAAUGAUCAAACAAUUUUGUAUUUGUUGCAUGCAAAGGUAGAGUAAAAAUGGCUAAAAUUCUCUAAGGUUUUUUAUACUAUGAUCCUUUUUGUGUUUCUAUUUCUUGCUCUAGUUGAUGUUGUUGGUAAGUCCAUUCUCAUAUUUUCAUAUUCUACAAAACUCUUAAUCUUUUUUCAAUAAUAUUUUUAUUCUUAUUUUAUAUAUUCUAGCUAUUUAAUAUGAACUUUUCAGUCAUUUAGCUAAUGGUUGUUUAUUGUGAUUACCUAAUCUAUAAAAUGAGGGAAAUAUUGAAGGUUGAAAAAGAGAAAGGGAUAUAUAAAGAUAAGAGAUAGAUGUAUGUGUAGAAAGAGCUAAGAUGCAUCAAUAUGAAAUAGAGGAAGAGAUACAUGAGACAGAGGUACGAGGGAGAGAGACACAUGAAACAAUAGAAAGAGAGAGAGAUUAGACAACAAAAAGAAAGAGAGAGAGAUUAGACAACAAAAAGAAAGAGAGAGAGAGAGAGAGAGAGAGAGAGAGGAGAGAUACACGAGAUAGUAGAAAAUGGCAAUAAUAUUUUAGUAGAAAAUUUAAAAAGAUAUUUUUAUAUUCUUGACUGCUUGUAUCUUGGACGAAAAAUUGUACUGUUGUUUUUUUAGGGACCAGAAUUUUUGCUUUUGUUCAAUUUCUUGCUACCUAUUCUAAAUAGUCUCAUGAUCGAUUUCUAAACAAAAAUUUGGUUGUCUAGUUCUAUUGUCUUUUAGAAAAUCAAAUGCACAAUGCAAUUACAUCAAUGAAAAAAAAGUUGAGUGAUUGUGAAUUCCUUAAUUGUUCCAAAGAGUGUUAAUUUUGACAAUUUAUGAAGAUAACUAUUUAAGAAUAAUGAAAAUAAUGUAAGUAAAUUUGAAGAGCAGAGAAACUGUAAGUAAAAUUGGUUUAAUUGGAUUGUUGUAAAUUUAUUAUGAUUUGUACAAUUAAUUUUUAUAGAGUAUAAAUAAGAUUUUAAAGUGUAGUUCCUACAAUCCAUUAUUUUGACUGUAAGUAAAAUAAGUUUAUUUGGAUUGAUGUAAAUUUAUUAUGAUUUGUACAAUUGGUAUUUAUAGAGUAUAAAUAAGAUUUUAAAGUGUAGUUCCUACUAUCCAUUACUUUGACUGAUUAUAAUUAAGUUCUCAUUUCAAAUUAAUCGACUAAUUUAAGUACAUUUCCAUUGAACUUGUGACUAUUUAUGAAUAUGCCUUUCCGUUAUUUGCAUUCCCUUAUUUCUAUAUUGAAGCAGUUUUUUUCUUUCUAUCACAAAUGUUGGGCUCAUAUGAAAAUAGGCUCGGUGCGCUAAGGUUGUAGUUCAAAUUAACUUGGUCAAUUUAAAUGUAAUGUCUAAUAGUCCUAUAUAGUCUUUUCUUGUGCAGUAAAAGUGUUAUCAAUAACGGUCGAAAAAAUUUUAUUAUAUCGAAUUUAAAUAAUCUAUAUUAGAAUAAAUUUU